AUUGAACGCUGGCGGCAGGCUUAACACAUGCAAGUCGAGCGGGGUGAUGGUGCUUGCACUAUCACUUAGCGGCGGACGGGUGAGUAAUGCUUAGGAAUCUGCCUAUUAGUGGGGGACAACAUCUCGAAAGGGAUGCUAAUACCGCAUACGUCCUACGGGAGAAAGCAGGGGAUCACUUGUGACCUUGCGCUAAUAGAUGAGCCUAAGUCGGAUUAGCUAGUUGGUGGGGUAAAGGCCUACCAAGGCGACGAUCUGUAGCGGGUCUGAGAGGAUGAGCCGCCACACUGGGACUGAGACACGGCCCAGACUCCUACGGGAGGCAGCAGUGGGGAAUAUUGGACAAUGGGGGAAACCCUGAUCCAGCCAUGCCGCGUGUGUGAAGAAGGCCUUAUGGUUGUAAGGCACUUUAAGCGAGGAGGAGGCUCUUUUGGUUAAUACCCAAGAUGAGUGGACGUUACUCGCAGAAUAAGCACCGGCUAACUCUGUGCCAGCCGCCGCCGUAA
Molecule: ribosomal RNA, 503 nt
Filed under: uncultured bacterium
Lineage: Bacteria
Description: partial 16S ribosomal RNA
Rfam family: Bacterial small subunit ribosomal RNA
Source: RNAcentral